AUUGAACGCUGGCGGUAGGCUUAACACAUGCAAGUCGUGCGAGAAAGUAUCUUGGAUAUGAGUAGAGCGGCGGACGGGUGAGUACGCGUAAGGUAUCUCCUAGUAGAAGGGGAUACCCCGGGGAAACCCGGAUUAAUUCCGUAUACCUCCUUCGGGAGAAAGAAGGCCUUUCUUUGAAGCUUUCGCUACUAGAUGAGCCUGCGUAAGAUUAGCUUGUUGGUGAGGUAAAGGCUCACCAAGGCUACGAUCUUUAGCUGGUCUGAGAGGACGAUCAGCCACAUUGGGACUGAGACACGGCCCAGACUCCUACGGGAGGCAGCAGUGGGGAAUAUUGGACAAUGGGCGCAAGCCUGAUCCAGCCAUACCGCGUGUGUGAAGAAGGCCUUCGGGUUGUAAAGCACUUUAAGCAGGGAGAAAAAGUUAUAAGUUAAUACCUUAUAACCGUGAUGUUACCUGCAGAAUAAGCACCGGCUAAUUCCGUGCCAGCAGCCGCGGUAAUACGGAAGGUGCAAGCGUUAAUCGGAAUUACUGGGCGUAAAGCGCGCGUAGGUGGUUUGUUAAGUUGGAUGUGAAAGCCCUGGGCUCAACCUAGGAACUGCAUCCAAAACUAACUCACUAGAGUACGAUAGAGGGAGGUAGAAUUCAUAGUGUAGCGGUGGAAUGCGUAGAUAUUAUGAAGAAUACCAGUGGCGAAGGCGGCCUCCUGGAUCUGUACUGACACUGAGGUGCGAAAGCGUGGGUAGCGAACAGGAUUAGAUACCCUGGUAGUCCACGCCGUAAACGAUGACAACUAGCUGUUGGGAGACUAUGUCUUUCAGUGGCGCAGCUAACGCUUUAAGUUGUCCGCCUGGGGAGUACGGCCGCAAGGCUA
RNAcentral lists this ribosomal RNA (871 nucleotides) under uncultured marine bacterium. RNAcentral's name for it is "bacterial SSU rRNA". It matches the Rfam family "Bacterial small subunit ribosomal RNA", at positions 28 to 896 of the family's 1533-position model. The record is from RNAcentral.